RNAcentral lists this long non-coding RNA (10441 nucleotides) under Citrus maxima (pomelo). RNAcentral's name for it is "long non-coding RNA (CMAX_LNC003353)". The record is from RNAcentral. Lineage: Eukaryota; Viridiplantae; Streptophyta; Magnoliopsida; Sapindales; Rutaceae.
AGCUGUGGAGAUGAGCGAAUCAUAAUAUUCACAACAAAUCAUAAAGAAAGGCUAGACCCUGCUUUGUUGCGCCCCGGUCGCAUGGACAUGCACAUUAACAUGUCCCACUGCACUCCAUGUGGGUUCAAAAUGCUGGCCUCCAACUACCUUGGGAUCGCAGAGCAUCCACUUUUCGUGGAGAUUGAAAAGCUGAUAGCGACAGCAAAGGUGACUCCUGCGGAUGUAGCUGAGCAGCUGAUGAGGAAUGAGGCGCCUGAAUUUGCACUAAGUGGCCUGAUUGAGUUUCUUGAGUCUAAGAAGAGAGCUAAUGAUGGUAGUGAAGCCAAAGAAGCAGAGGAGAGAGCUGUGCAGGCUGAGAAGAAAGUUCUCGAAAUCUCGGAGGAAUAAAUGAGACAAGCUAAUUAAAGAUUCAGUAAAUAAUUUUAUAGAGGCUUGCAAGAAGCAAUAGUUUGUGGAGUUUGUAGACUUUUAUCCAUAACAUACAUACUGGGGCAGUUUAAUUUCCUUGAAAACUCCCUUAUUGUGACAGGGUUAGCUUGGAAUAUUGCUAUCAUUUCAUGCAUGAAAAUGAUAUUAUCUAUGACUUUAUAUCAAUGAAAAGUUAGGUUGGUGUGUCAUUAUGUAUAAAUUCUAUAUUUGUUCUCACAACAUUAUUAUUAUUAUGGGCACGGCUUUGGGAGCCAUCGUUGAUUGAGAUGAUAAUUAAAAAAAAAAAAAUUGAUAGUACUCAUGCGGAAAAACAGAAUAAAUAUGUCAAAGGAAUUAAUAAAGAAUAUAAUUAAAAAUUAGAUUGACAAAAAUUCAUAAUUAACCACUUAGUUAUGAUAAAUAAGCAGAAGUAGGAUCAAAUCUUAACUCCCCAACUAACUAUUUACCAGUAAUUCGACGUGAUCUAUUUUGUAACUAACAAUUUCUCCCAAUUACAUGCUUUUCACCAAUUACUCAACUAACCCAUCUUUCAUCCUUUAGAUCAAAUAAAUCAAAAGUAAGGAGCAGAUUAUGAUCAACUUAUAGAUACUGUAUCUUAUAGCUUAAUCACCGUUAGAUAAUUUAAAAAGUCAACAAUAUUAAUGAAAUUGAUCAUUCAUCGGUGAUUAAACAGUAAGGUACUGUGCUACAAAGUGCUGUAGUCACCCGCCAGAAACCAAGAUAUCGAUAUUAAUUAAAAAAAAAAAAAAUUGAAGAGCGACCAAAACCAUAAAUCAAAAGCCCUACUAGAUAUCAUUUUCUUUACCUUAGCACCUUAAACCCCAUCUUUGUUUUACAUUUUUUCUUGGAAACCAAACAACCCCCAGCAGGCAAAAAUGCACGACAAGAAGAAGUUUUUAGCGCAACCCAAAUGCCAUCCACGAGACCGUGGUCUCUGCAGCGGCUUCUGCAGCUGCCGCGGCUAUGGUACUUCGAGAAAACUCCUUUGUUCUUAAACUGAAAGAUUUCUUUUCAAGAUUCUCAAAUGAGUUAACCUUAGUCAUUGAACAAUUUGAUGAUAGCAGCAUUAAUCAAACCGAGCUCUUUAAAGCUGCAAAGCUUUAUCUUGAACCCGGAAUCCCACCCUAUGUUAAAAGAAUCAAAAUCAAUUUGCCAAACAAGGAGACCAAGAUUUUAUCCUCCGUUGAAAAAAAAUAAAGCAAUUGUUGAUAUCUUUAAUGGGGUUCAAUUAAAAUGGACGCUUGGUUCAAAACAAGCCCAAGAACAGGUGUUUUGAGUAAAGGAAUAAGCAAGCAAAAGAAGACUUUGAAGCUUUUUACUUUAAAGGACAGGAUGUACGGAGGGAGAGACUUAUGGCAAUCGGUUAAUCUUUGAUCAUCCAGCCACUUUCGAUACACUGGCAAUGGAUUCUAAUAUGAAGCACAUGAAAAUGGAUGAUCUUGAGAGGUUUGUGAAGAGGAAAGAGUUUUAUAGAAAUGUAGGCAAAGCAUGGAAACGCGGGUAUUUGUUAUACAGUCCUCCAAGAACAGGGAAGUCCAGCUUGACUGCAGCCAUGGCUAAUUAUCUCAAUUUUGAUGUCUGUGACCUGGAGUUGACUACUCUCAGAGAUAAUGCGAAGUUAAGGAAUGUGUUGAUUGCCGCAGAGAAUAAGUCCAUUCUUGCUGCGGAGGACAUUGAUUGUUCUAUUAAUUUGCAAGGCAGGCAUUCACAGGCAAAGUCUUUGAAUCCUGUGAACUCUAAUGCGAUCAAACCAGUAACUAAUGUCAAUCAAGAACCAAAAGUGACCUUAUCAGGAUUGCUAAACUUCAUAGAUGGAGUGUGUCGAGCUGUGGAGAUGAGAGGAUCACAAUAUUCACAACUAAUCAUAAAGACAGACUUGACCCUGCAUUUAUUGUUGCGACCGGGUUGCAUGGACAUGCACAUUCAUAUGUCCUAUUGCACUCCAUGUGGGUUGAAAAUGCUGGCCUCAAACUACUUUUGUAACGCCAAAUUCCAUCAUUUUAGAUUAUGGAAAUUCGGCUUUUAUUAGAAAACAUAUACGGCAUGACACUUAUUAAUAAGUAUAUUAAAAUUAUAAAUCGGGUUAUUCGUGGGAUAAAUUUUGGAAAAAACUUUAUUUUUCUAAAUUUAAUAGGGUUUUUUAAGACUCCAUAUAAAUUACGCUCUUACUCAUACCAUGAAUUCAAACCUUUUGUUUAGGAGAGAAUCAUAAUGGUUGAUAAGUUUACUCUUCUUAUUUUCCACAUAUUUUCCUAUCACUUUAUUUAGGGUUUUAAUUUGCAUGAUUUUAAAUUGUUACAGAUCAUAAUACAUGAUUUAGGAUGUAUUUAAGUUCUGUUUAGGGCUCUGAUUUUUUGUUGAGUCUUAUUAACCAAUCUUUUAUGCAUUGACGAGAGUGAACAAAAAGAAACGGAGCAAAGAGCACUGGCAACAGAAAGUAGUACUGAAAAAUAUGAUUAGGAAACCGAUUAUGAAGAAUCGGACAACAAGGAGUAAAUUUUAGUUAAAAUUGAGGACUCGUCUUAGUCAUCUGUACCAUCCACAUAAUUGGUUAGUUACUGUUAAUUGGAAUUAUCUAUGACUUGGUAUCUAUGAAAAUUAUAUUUUUGCGGCAAUUUGUUAUGACUUAUGAUCAUGCAUAACAAGAGGUAAAUUUUUGUGGUACAUUUUUGUAGAUCGAAAGCUAUAGUUGUUCAACUCCAAUUGAAAACAUAGCUUCACAUAAGAAAAUUAGGCACAUCCUAUUCCUAUGAAUAUCCUCAGCCAGCACAUAGGAACUUUGUAAAUGUGCACUCAAAAUGCCGUCAUAUCAAAAUUUUGAAGAGUUCAAUAAUUCUUUUUAAAAUUUUAGUCUAUGUCGACAUUACAAGAUGAGAAAAUAAAACGGCAUCUUAGGUGAAAACUUUUGUUGUUCAAUAAAUAAAAACGAAAGUAGAUAUGAGGAAUAUAAGAAAAUAGAAUUUCAUUAAAGUGAAAGUGAAAUUGUUAAAGCAUAUUUAAAAAAAAAAUGAGGUGAUGAGAUCCUCACCAUUGGACCAACGAGUGGUCCGUUAAUUUAUUUUAAGUUGAAUUAUAAUUUCUCAAAACAAUCCAAUCCUAAACUUUUUAUUCCUCAAUCUAACACACAGUUAGGCAUAAUUUGCAUUUUUCUUUUGAAAUAUAUCCCUAACAUAGUAACAUUAUGCAAUGUUAACUUGCACGAUGUUAUCGUUAUUGUUAUCAUCAUUAUUUUACUUAUGCUAAAAGAAAAUUGCAUUAUUUUUAAGAAAAAUUAUAAUAAGACAUAUUUCAUGUCACGUAAUAUUAGAAUAAAUUUGCUCAUCAAAUUACAUGUAUAAGAAAAACCAAAUUCAAAAACUGGAGUUCUCUCAAAAAAUACAUAAAGCUUCCAAAAAAUACCUUAAAUACAGUAAAUAGACUCUUCUCGAUCCCUAUCUGAAAGGUAUAGUAUAACCUUUAUAAAUUAAUGUUCGACAGAGUAAUGACCUCUGUUAUGUAAUAAUUUUUUUUUUGUCCCGACUUGGGCUAAUAGCUAGGCUAUAUUAAUAAUUUUUUUUAAAAAAGAAAACCUCUUAUGAUAUAACUCUAUUGAUGGUCUCAUUCAUGUCAUAAAAUAAUAAUUUGAUAAAAAUAGAAAUAUAAUUGACUAUGGUAUUUAAAAAAUAUAACCUCAUAAUAAUAAUAUUAUUAUUUUUAAUUGAAAUACAAAUUUUAUAUUAGAUCUAUCUCUAAUUUUUAUUAUUCAUCUAUAAGUUAUAGGGUUAACUUGUACAAUCGCAAUAAAAAAUUACAAAGUAUUAUUGAUACUUUGAGUGCUUACUUGUACGUAAUAUGUUCUAAAGUUAUUGUAUUAUCCUUAGAUUGGUAAAAUACAAUAAACUUUUAGUUGAAUAAAUAUAUGUUCAUUGAAUAGUAAAUGUACUUUACAAAUAAUAAUUUUUUUAUGAUUAUAACACUAUUAAUUUAUAAAGAUUAUACUAAUGUUAAUUACAUUCAAUAUUCUCUCUCUGCCUCUCUCUCUCCCUACAUAUAUAGUAGUUUUCUCGUUUAGGAUCAUAAAGUGCAGGAAACGCCCGAAAAAAUUUUAAAACCGUGGAGUUUUAAAGGCUUAAAGCAUUUAAACUGCACAAUUUAUGUGUUUUUCCAUACGUUCCAACACUUUAAAAAUUCGGAUUGGAUAUCUCAAGUUUAAGAAUUUGUGGUAUAUGUUAUUUUUACGAAGAGAAAUUAAUAAUACAAUUCUAAUAUAAAUUUGAGUCAAAUAAAGGUAUAAGAAGAACCUAAUUAAUUCAAAAUCUAAUGGCUAGUGUAAUACCUAGCCAUACUUUAUCUAAUGAAAAUAUACUUUAGCAUGAAAGCUAUCACGGGAGAAAACUACCUAGAUGUAAAACUUUUAGACUUGUACACUUUGAUAUAAUUACACAAUGAUCAUAUAAUAUAGAUAGAUAGAUAUUUGGCUGGUCACUCUAAUUCUAAUUUUUGGGAAGGAGAGAACUAUAAAAUUGAUUUGAACUUAUCCAUCAAAUCAACUUUUAAAAAAAAUAAAUUAAAACAUAAAGAUUAAUUUAGGCCAGUUUAUUCAUGUAAUUUUCCUAUUUACUUUAGGAUUACUUGUUUAGCUGGCAUUUGUUUCCCUUAUCUAUUUAGGUCAUAGAGCCUAUAUAAAUAUGCAUAAAAUUUCUCAAGAGUCAUAAAACUUUAGAUAGUAUUUGUUUCCCUAACACUGUCCGAUUCAUCAAAGACAGGGGGAAGAAGAUUACGAAGAGAGGCGAAUCAAGCAAUGCUGAAUCGGGAGCAUAGGCUGUAGUGAGUGCCAUAAUAGUAAUACUAAGCCAGCUUCAAGGAUCAUAUAAUUGCAUAUCGUCUGCAAUUUUCUUUCUUGACAGUGAAGAAACAAAGAGAACAACCAAAACCUCCUUUACCCUUUCAUCCCCUCCAAAUACUGUGCUUUUUCCCCCAAACCAAACAGUCCCACCCCCACAAACAAGAGAAAAAAAAAUGUUUAUGUUUUUGGACACUACCCAAAUGCCAUCCAUAACAACCAUGAUGUCUGUGGCUGCCUCUGCAGCUGCUACGUUUAUGCUCAUUCAAUCCUACGCUAGACAAUACUUGCCUGAUGAGGUUAGCUCCUACUUUGAUCAGAAAUUCAAAAACUUUAUUGCAAGCAUUUACAGUGAGUUAACGUUUGUCAUUGAAGAAUAUGACGAUGGCCUCAACAAAAACACACUCUUUAAAGCGGCAAAGCUUUAUCUUGAACCCAAAAUCCCUCCCAAUGUGAAUAGAAUUAAAAUCUACCUGCCAAAGAAGGAAUCCGAAGUUUCGCUUUCUGUUGAAAAGAAUCAAGCGGUUGUUGAUGUGUUUAAUGAAGUUCGCCUAAAAUGGAUGUUUGAGUUAAAACCAGCCCCGGAUCACGAGCUUUGCAAUAACGGCAACUACAUGUUUAAAGACCGUGUCCCCUGCUUUGAGCUGAGAUUUCACAAGAAGCAUAAAGAGACUGUCUUGGGUACUUACGUACCUCAUAUCUUAAAAAAUAUAAAGAGUUAAGCAAGAAAAAGAAAACUUUGAAGCUUUUUACUUUGAGCUCUAAUAGGUAAGUCACGAUACAUGGCAAUCAGUGAACCUUGAUCAUCCAUCCACUUUUGAUACGUUGGCUAUGGGUACUGAUAUGAAGAAGAUGGUAAUGGAUGAUCUUGAGAGGUUUCUGAGGAGGAGAGAUUAUUACAGGAGAGUAGGCAAGGCAUGGAAACGUGGGUAUUUGCUGUUCGGUCCUCCACGGACGGGGAAAUCAAGCUUAAUUGCGGCCAUGGCUAAUUAUCUCCAUUAUGAUGUCUAUGACUUAGAGCUGUCUAGUGUGGAGGGAAAUAAGCAUUUAAGGAAGGUAUUGAUUGCCACAGAGAAUAAGUCCAUUCUGGUUGUGGAGGACAUUGAUUGUUGCACCGAGUUGCAGGACAGAAGUGCACAGGCCAGAACUGCAAGUCCUGAUUGGCAUAGUCCAAGACGUGAUCUGGUAACUUUAUCAUCCUAUCUUUUUAAUACCAUGUUUAAUACCUGGAUUUAUAGAUGCUGCAAAUCAGGAAUUUGAUUUUAUUGUAGAGAGGAUUUUAGAAACUUUUGGUAAUUUUGUCAAUACGUAGCACAAAAUAUUCUAGUUAAAUUUCGGGUGACUGCUUCCGGACAGUAAUUGUGAGAUACUGAGAAAGUGAUAAAGAGAUUUGAAGCUCUAAAUUAUUCUACACAAAGUGGUUCCUCCAGAUACUUUACCAAUGGGAUUCCAAUUUAUGGGUUACUAAUAUGAUGCUCGAACUAGUAAUAUGGUUCUUAAGAUUGUUCGAAUCAAUAAAUCCUAUGUACAUGCAUGACUUAAAUCACGUUUUUUUCUCAAUUUCAGAUCACCUUAUCAGGAUUGUUAAACUUCACAGACGGAUUGUGGUCCAGCUGUGGUGAUGAGCGGAUCAUUGUAUUCACAACCAACCAUAAAGACAGGCUUGAUCCUGCUUUGUUGCGCCCCGGCCGCAUGGAUGUGCACGUCCACAUGUCAUAUUGCACUCCAUGUGGGUUCAAAAUUCUGGCCUCCAACUACCUUGGGAUCACAGAGCAUCCACUUUUCUCGGAGGUUGAAGAGUUGAUAGUGCAAACAGAGGUAAGUCCAGCUGAAGUAGCUGAGCAGCUGAUGAGGAAUAAGGCACCUGAAAUUGCGCUGAGUGGCCUACUUGAGUUUCUUAAGAUGAAGAAGAGGGACAACGAUGAGAUAGAUGCUAAAGAAGCAGAACAAAGUGCAAUGGAAGCAAAAAAUAUUCAAGAACCUCCUGAGGAAACCAGUGAAGGAAAGAGUCAAGACAUGAUAAAGAUUCAUUAAAUUUUUAUGGUGGUUUACAGCAAGAAGUAGCUAGUUUGCAGUUAAAAUCGGGGACUUACUUCAGUUAUCUAUAGCAUCAGUUAUCUAUAGCAUUUGCAUAAUUGGGUAGUUUAUUUCAAUUGAAAAAUUUUGGACUUGGUAUCUGCGAAAUGCAUAUUUGUGCUGCAUUGUGUAAUGAUUAGAGAUUAUCAGGUAAUUUGGAGAAGCAAGCUUGUUGUAAGGCUGCUGGGAGACCUAUGGUGUGUUUUUAAUUUAUUGCAAGUAUUUGUAUUUUGCUUAAAAUUGCCGGAUUAAUAUUAUUGCUUCCUAUGUCAAUUAUGAAUCCUAGUUGUUUUGCAAUGUUAUAGGUACAGCUCUGAGAGACCUCUACGUUCAAACCAUCAUUGAUAAUAGACAAUCUACUGAUUCAUUUGCUCUCUUUCUAAAUGUACAAAGUGUGGAAAAUUUCUUAGAUGGGAAUCACUUCUCACAGUUUAAUAAUCCAUUUUAACCAAUAUGUUGAGUUCUGUUUGAUGUAGCUUAUUAAUUCUUUUUAUUAACCAAUUUGCUUUAUUUCUCCCUAACCAAUUUAUAUUGUGGCUUUUAACUUAAAUAAGUUGAAAUGAAGGUUCAAAAAAUUAAUGCUUGAAAACUUGCUCAAGAAGGACCAUUUAUUGUUUUGUUUUCUAGCUAAAUUUUAGAGAAAGCGGAAUCUAUGUGCUUUUUUUCUUUACAUUUUCAACCUUUCAAGUUAUUUCAGGACACCUUAGUUGAGAAGGAAACACUUUUUACUGGAGUCAAGAUAAAAUGAACGUCUGAAGCAGUGCUUCCCACGUCACGGUCAACUGAGGUCUCUUGGUGGCAAAGAAAAGCAAUGAAGAAAAGAUGAAAUGGACAGUCACCAAUAAUGCAAAGCAAAACAAUCACAUUCUCACAAUCACAGUCACUCCAAGUCUCCAACAUUGUUAGAAACUGACCACUGUCUUUCAUUUUCCUCACAAACUAAACAGCCCCAGUUGCCUGCAUCAUCUACCUCAAAAAUCCAUAAUUUUCUCUCAAACCAAACAGCCCCAGUUCGCCAAAAAAAAAAAUGAUUUUUAACACUACCCAAAUGCCAUCAACUAGGACCAUUGUAUCUGCAGCGGCCUCUACAACAGCUACAUUUAUGGUCAUUCGAUCCAUUGCUCGCGAUUACUUGCCUCGUGAGGUUCAAUCUUACUUUGCUUUGAAGCUCAGAGAUUUUUUUUUCAAGUUUUUCUAAUGAGUUAACCUUUGUCAUUGAUGAAUACGAUGAUGGCCUCAACCAAAACAAGCUCUUUAAAGCUGCAAAGAUUUAUCUUGAACCCAAAAUCCCUCCCAAUGUGAAGAGAAUCAAAAUCAAUUUGCCAAGGAAAGAAACUAAAAUUUCACUUUCUGUUGAGCAAAAUGAAGAGAUUUUUGAUGUCUUUAAUGGAGUUCACUUAAGAUGGAAGUUUGAGUCAAAACCAACCCCAUCUGAGGCCAUCAACAAAAGGUCAAUUACUAAAGGUUAUAGGGUUAAAGAUCAUGCUGCAUGCUUUGAGCUGAGCUUUCACAAGAAAAACAAAGACUUUGUUUUAGGUACUUACAUACCUCACGUCUUGAAGAAGUCUAAAGAAAUAAGCCAGAAAAAGAAAACUUUGAAGCUUUUUACUUUGGGGUCUCACAGAGGAAUGAUUGGUGAUAAAUCAAUAUGGCAAUCAGUGAAUCUUGAUCAUCCGGCAAAUUUUGAUACAUUGGCUAUGGAUUUUGAUAUGAAGAAGACGAUAAUGGAUGAUCUAGAGAGGUUUCUGCAGAGGAAGGAUUUUUAUCGAAGAGUAGGCAAGGCAUGGAAACGAGGGUAUUUACUGUUUGGUCCUCCAGGGACUGGCAAGUCAAGCUUGAUCGCGGCCAUGGCUAAUUAUCUCAAAUUUGAUAUCUAUGACUUGGAGUUGUCUAAUCUUCGGGGAAAUAAUGAUUUAAGGCAUAUACUGAUUGCCACAGAGAACAAGUCCAUUCUGGUUGUGGAGGACAUUGAUUGUUGCAUUGACCGGCAGGACAGGCUUUCGCGGGCAAGGGCUACAAAUCCUGGUGUUCUCAUACCAGGAUAUGAACAACAACAAAAUCAGGUAAUAUUAUCAUCCAACAUCUCUUUAUUUUAACUUAAUAAUUCUUAAUACUGUAAAAUGAUCAGUACCGUACGUGUUUCUAAUUGUCCAUAGUGAACCUGAUUCCCCUGGUAUAGCUAAGAUAAGCCAGUCCAUGUUUAACACCAGGAUAUAAGUUUGCAAAUCAGGAAAUUUGUUGUCAGUUAAUUUUUGUAUUCAUUUACAUGGUUUUUAUUGAGAGGUUUCUAGUGACAGUUCGCCCAUGUUAUGCCAAAUUUCAUCAAGUAAUGGGUUGGAUCUGUAAAAUGGCUAUGGCUGUUCUUAUCAACAGCAAAUCAUAUGUAUAUAAUCCCUGACUUGGCCACAUUUUUUUCCCUCCCUUUUUUCAGUAUGUUAUAACCUUAUCAGGAUUGUUAAACUUCACUGAUGGAUUGUGGUCAAGCUGUGGAGACGAGCGGAUCAUAAUAUUCACAACCAAUCAUAAAGACAGGCUUGACCCUGCUUUGUUGCGCCCCGGUCGUAUGGAUGUGCAUAUCCACAUGUCAUACUGCACUCCAUGUGGGUUCAAAAUGCUGGCCUCCAACUACCUUGGGAUCACAGAGCAUCCACUUUUCGUGGAGAUUGAAAAGCUGAUAGAGACAGCAACGGCGACGCCUGCGGAUGUAGCUGAGCAGCUGCUGAGGAAUGAGGUGCCUGAACUUGCACUAAGUGGCCUGAUUGAGUUUCUUGAGACUAAGAAGAGAGCUAAUGAUGAUAGUGAAGCCAAAGCAGCAGAGGAGAGAGGAGAGAGCUAGGCAAAAACUUCUCGAACGCUUUAAAAUGUAAUAAAUGAGACAGGCUAGAGAUUCAGUAGAUUUUAUGAGGCUUGCUAGAAGCAGUAGUUUAUGGAGUUUGCAGUACUUUUAUCUAUAACAUACAUACCGGGGCAGUUUAAUUUCCUUGAAAACUCACUUUUGGUGGCAGGGUUUUGCUUGGAAACCUGCUAUCAUUUCAUGGAUGAAAAUGAUAUUAUCUAUGACUUUAUAUAUCAAUGAAAAGUUUGGUUGGUGCAUCAUUAUGUAUGAAUAUGUCA